Molecule: ribosomal RNA, 908 nt
Filed under: Escherichia coli
Lineage: Bacteria; Pseudomonadati; Pseudomonadota; Gammaproteobacteria; Enterobacterales; Enterobacteriaceae
Description: partial 23S ribosomal RNA
Rfam family: Bacterial large subunit ribosomal RNA
Source: RNAcentral
AGUAGCGGCGAGCGAACGGGGAGCAGCCCAGAGCCUGAAUCAGUGUGUGUGUUAGUGGAAGCGUCUGGAAAGGCGCGCGAUACAGGGUGACAGCCCCGUACACAAAAAUGCACAUACUGUGAGCUCGAUGAGUAGGGCGGGACACGUGGUAUCCUGUCUGAAUAUGGGGGGACCAUCCUCCAAGGCUAAAUACUCCUGACUGACCGAUAGUGAACCAGUACCGUGAGGGAAAGGCGAAAAGAACCCCGGCGAGGGGAGUGAAAAAGAACCUGAAACCGUGUACGUACAAGCAGUGGGAGCCUCUUUAUGGGGUGACUGCGUACCUUUUGUAUAAUGGGUCAGCGACUUAUAUUCUGUAGCAAGGUUAACCGAAUAGGGGAGCCGAAGGGAAACCGAGUCUUAACUGGGCGUUAAGUUGCAGGGUAUAGACCCGAAACCCGGUGAUCUAGCCAUGGGCAGGUUGAAGGUUGGGUAACACUAACUGGAGGACCGAACCGACUAAUGUUGAAAAAUUAGCGGAUGACUUGUGGCUGGGGGUGAAAGGCCAAUCAAACCGGGAGAUAGCUGGUUCUCCCCGAAAGCUAUUUAGGUAGCGCCUCGUGAAUUCAUCUCCGGGGGUAGAGCACUGUUUCGGCAAGGGGGUCAUCCCGACUUACCAACCCGAUGCAAACUGCGAAUACCGGAGAAUGUUAUCACGGGAGACACACGGCGGGUGCUAACGUCCGUCGUGAAGAGGGAAACAACCCAGACCGCCAGCUAAGGUCCCAAAGUCAUGGUUAAGUGGGAAACGAUGUGGGAAGGCCCAGACAGCCAGGAUGUUGGCUUAGAAGCAGCCAUCAUUUAAAGAAAGCGUAAUAGCUCACUGGUCGAGUCGGCCUGCGCGGAAGAUGUAACGGGGCUAAACCAUG